RNAcentral lists this ribosomal RNA (206 nucleotides) under Klebsiella ornithinolytica. RNAcentral's name for it is "Raoultella ornithinolytica partial 23S ribosomal RNA". It matches the Rfam family "Bacterial large subunit ribosomal RNA", at positions 1 to 198 of the family's 2925-position model. The record is from RNAcentral. Lineage: Bacteria; Pseudomonadati; Pseudomonadota; Gammaproteobacteria; Enterobacterales; Enterobacteriaceae.
GGGUUGUGAGGUUAAGCGACUAAGCGUACACGGUGGAUGCCCUGGCAGUCAGAGGCGAUGAAGGACGUGCUAAUCUGCGAUAAGCGUCGGUAAGGUGAUAUGAACCGUUAUAACCGGCGAUUUCCGAAUGGGGAAACCCAGUGUGAUUCGUCACACUAUCGUUAAGUGAAUACAUAGCUUAACGAAGCGAACCGGGGGAACUGAAA